CAGUCGCCGCGGUAUACGUAGGGUGCGAGCGUUAAUCGGAAUUACUGGGCGUAAAGCGUGCGCAGGCGGCUUUGCAAGACAGAUGUGAAAUCCCCGGGCUCAACCUGGGAACUGCAUUUGUGACUGCAAGGCUAGAGUACGGUAGAGGGGGACGGAAUUCCGCGUGUAGCAGUGAAAUGCGUAGAUAUGCGGAGGAACACCAAUGGCGAAGGCAAUCCCCUGGACCUGUACUGACGCUCAUGCACGAAAGCGUGGGGAGCAAACAGGAUUAGAUACCCCGGUAGUCCCUGUCUCUUAUACA
Molecule: ribosomal RNA, 301 nt
Filed under: uncultured bacterium
Lineage: Bacteria
Description: partial 16S ribosomal RNA
Rfam family: Bacterial small subunit ribosomal RNA
Source: RNAcentral